This 639-nucleotide ribosomal RNA is filed under the name uncultured marine eukaryote. RNAcentral's name for it is "SSU rRNA". It matches the Rfam family "Eukaryotic small subunit ribosomal RNA", at positions 612 to 1256 of the family's 1831-position model. The record is from RNAcentral.
GUUGCGGUUAAAAAGCUCGUAGUUGGAUUUCUGUUGAGGUCGACCGGUGUACACUUCGUGUAUUAUUUGGUUCGGUCUCGGCAUCCUCUUGGGGAACGUUUCUGGACUUUAUUGGACAGGGCGAGAUUCAAGACUUUUACUUUGAGGAAAUUAGAGUGUUCACGGCAGGCAAGUGCUUUGAAUACAUUAGCAUGGAAUAAUAAUAUAGGACCUUCGUUCUAUUUUGUUGGUUUCUAGAACUUAGGUAAUGAUUAAUAGGGACAAUUGGGGGCAUUCGUAUUAACGCGUCAGAGGUGGAAUUCUUGGAUUGCGUUACGACGAACUACUGCGAAAGCAUUUGCCAAAGAUGUUUUCAUUGAUCAAGAACGAAAGUAUGGGGAUCGAAGACGCUUAGAUACCGUCGUAGUCUAUACCAUAAACUAUGCCAACUAGAGACUGGAGGGGUUCUCCUAUGUGGCUCCUUCAGCAUCUUAUGAGAAAUCAAAGUUUUUGGGUUCCGGGGGGAGUAUGGUCGCAAGGCUGAAACUUAAAGGAAUUGACGGAAGGGCACCACCAGGAGUGGAGCCUGCGGCUUAAUUUGACUCAACACGGGAAAACUUACCAGGUCCAGACAUAGUAAGGAUUGACAGAUUGAUAGCU